GUGGGAUAUUAUUAAUACCUAACCCUAAUUCAAAUCCAGCAUAACUAUUGAGAGGUAAUCAUGGGAAAGGUAGCCAAUAUCUCAUAUAAUCACACAUAAUCUCACCACUGAAUAAAAGAAAGAUAAAGAAAAGCAAAAGCUGCUACAGAAAACCAUAACUUAAAAAUAAUCGGGGUUUCGAUACUGAAUAGGCAUGUGAACAAAAGCCAACAUAAGAACAAAGAAUUUAGAGAGAGAGAGAGAGAGAGAGAGA
This 253-nucleotide unclassified non-coding RNA is filed under the name Hevea brasiliensis (rubber tree). Lineage: Eukaryota; Viridiplantae; Streptophyta; Magnoliopsida; Malpighiales; Euphorbiaceae. The record is from RNAcentral.